This 863-nucleotide ribosomal RNA is filed under the name Diaporthe rudis. RNAcentral describes it as "eukaryotic LSU rRNA". It matches the Rfam family "Eukaryotic large subunit ribosomal RNA", at positions 68 to 963 of the family's 3401-position model. The record is from RNAcentral. Lineage: Eukaryota; Fungi; Ascomycota; Sordariomycetes; Diaporthales; Diaporthaceae.
ACAGGGAUUGCCCUAGUAACGGCGAGUGAAGCGGCAACAGCUCAAAUUUGAAAUCUGGCCUCGGCCCGAGUUGUAAUUUGCAGAGGAUGUUUCUGGCGCGGUGCCUUCCGAGUUCCCUGGAACGGGACGCCAAAGAGGGUGAGAGCCCCGUAUGGUCGGACACCAAGCCUGUGUGAAACUCCUUCGACGAGUCGAGUAGUUUGGGAAUGCUGCUCUAAAUGGGAGGUAAAUCUCUUCUAAAGCUAAAUACCGGCCAGAGACCGAUAGCGCACAAGUAGAGUGAUCGAAAGAUGAAAAGCACCUUGAAAAGGGGGUUAAAUAGUACGUGAAAUUGUUGAAAGGGAAGCACUUAUGACCAGACUUGGGCCGGGCGGCUCAUCAGGGGUUCUCCCCUGUGCACUCCGCCCGGCACAGGCCAGCAUCGGUUCUCGUGGGGGGAUAAGACCGUCAGGAACGUAGCACCCUCCGGGGUGUGUUAUAGCCUGGCGGACGAUACCCUCGUGGGGACCGAGGUUCGCGCUCCGCAAGGAUGCUGGCGUAAUGGUCAUCAGUGACCCGUCUUGAAACACGGACCAAGGAGUCGUCCAUUAGAGCGAGCGUUUGGGUGUAAAACCCGCACGCGUAAUGAAAGUGAACGCAGGUGAGAGCUUCGGCGCAUCAUCGACCGAUCCUGAUGUUCUCGGAAGGAUUUGAGUAAGAGUUUUAACGGACGGACCCGAAAGACAGUGAACUAUGCUUGUAUAGGGUGAAGCCAGAGGAAACUCUGGUGGAGGCUCGCAGCGGUUCUGACGUGCAAAUCGAUCGUCAAAUAUGAGCAUGGGGGCGAAAGACUAAUCGAACUGUCUAGUAGCUGGUUACCGCCG